Molecule: long non-coding RNA, 731 nt
Filed under: Eucalyptus grandis
Lineage: Eukaryota; Viridiplantae; Streptophyta; Magnoliopsida; Myrtales; Myrtaceae
Description: long non-coding RNA (EGRA_LNC002503)
Source: RNAcentral
UAGAGAUCAUGAAGCUCCAACGCCUUUGCCAUCUUCUUGUAUAUCGUUAUCAAACUGUAUCCUAUACGCACUACAAAUAUGGCUUCAGCACCCCAGCACAAAUUGGAGCUCUUCAAUCUCUGCAAAAGCUUUGCUACAUAGAUGCAGAUGAUGAUAGAACCAACAAUGUUAUAAGUGAGCUCGGGAAGCUAAAUCAGCUGAGAAGACUCUGCAUUCUAAAGUUGAAGAAAGAAGAUGGAAGGAAAUUGUGCUGGUCAAUUGCGAAGUUGACAAACCUCCAGUCCCUGGCUGUUUAUUCAUUAGGAGAUGAUGAAGAAAUUGAUCUGCAGAACCUUUCUUCUCCACCGCCACUACUUCAAAGGAUCUACCUGAGAGGACGUAUGCGGGCUUUGCCACAUUGGAUAGCAAGCAUGCAUGGUCUUGCCAAGUUACAUUUAAGUUGGUGUUUGCUUAAGGAAGAUCCCCUGCCAUCCCUCCAGGAUUUGCCCAAUCUUGUACAUCUUGAGUUACUUCAAGUUCACGAUUGGCAAACACUAUGCUUUAAGGCUAAAGGGUUUCAAAAGCUCAAGAUAUUAGGUCUUGAUUAUUAUGAGGAGCUCACAUUUGUACAGAUAGAGGAGGAAGCAAUGUCUAACCUUGAGAAAUUGAUGAUCCAGCGAUGCAAACAGCUGAAGAGUAUGCCAUCGGGAAUCGAGCACCUCACCAAGCUCAAAGUGCUGGAGUUCUUUGAC